UCAGCGGGGAAAGAAGACCCUGUUGAGCUUGACUCCAGUCUGGCAUUGUUCGGAGACAUGCCGAGGAGUAGAAUAAGUGGGAGAUGGGGAUUCACACGGUGGAGUUGGAAACAAUUCUUUCGUGCCUUAUCGCCGGUGAAAUACCACUACUCGCAUCGUUUCCUUACUUACUCGGUUAUGCGGAGCGCGUGCUGUUUGGUCCUGGUCUUUGGCCGGUGCCGUUUUGUACGUACACGGUUCGUCAGUGUCCGAGGCAAUGUGUGAAUUCGAUCCGGGUAUUGUUCAAGUUAUCUUGCUUUACCCGUGCUCAAUGUUUUCCACGUCCCCGGAUGCUGUUUCGGCCGUAUGCGUCUCGGUAUCGUGUCGGAGUCCGUCGCGGCCGGCAGUCACGAUCGGUUCCCGGUCGACUUAAGCGCAAUCGCGACGCCUGUCAGUCAGAACGGUCUACGGUAGAGUUUCAGCGUGCAAUGGCUGCUUCGCGGCGGUCAUUCGCGUGAAGUUCUAUCGCCCGGUUUGGCCUGGCGUCGUUGCGUGAUCCGAUCCGAGGACACCGCCAGGUGGGGAGUUCGACUGGGGCGGUACAUCUGUCAAAGAAUAACGCAGGUGUCCUAAGGCCAGCUCAGCGAGGACGGAAACCUCGCGUAGAGCAAAAGGGCAAAAGCUGGCUUGAUCCCGGACGCUCAGUACGCGUAGGGACUGCGAAAGCAUCGGCCUCUCGAUCCUCUCGUCC
This 730-nucleotide ribosomal RNA is filed under the name Icerya zimmermanni. Its description in RNAcentral is "partial 28S ribosomal RNA". It matches the Rfam family "Eukaryotic large subunit ribosomal RNA", at positions 2394 to 2782 of the family's 3401-position model. Lineage: Eukaryota; Metazoa; Arthropoda; Insecta; Hemiptera; Monophlebidae. The record is from RNAcentral.